UACGUAGGUGGCAAGCGUUGUCCGGAUUUACUGGGCGUAAAGCGUGCGCAGGUGGUUGUGCAAGACAGAUGUGAAAUCCCCGGGCUUAACCUGGGAAUUGCAUUUGUGACUGCACGGCUAGAGUGCGGUAGAGGGGGAUGGAAUUCCGCGUGUAGCAGUGAAAUGCGCAGAUAUCGGGAGGAACACCAAUGGCGAAGGCAGCUCGCUGGGACGUUACUGACGCUGAGACGCGAAAGCGUGGGGAGCAAACAGG
Molecule: ribosomal RNA, 253 nt
Filed under: uncultured bacterium
Lineage: Bacteria
Description: partial 16S ribosomal RNA
Rfam family: Bacterial small subunit ribosomal RNA
Source: RNAcentral